Molecule: ribosomal RNA, 459 nt
Filed under: uncultured soil bacterium
Lineage: Bacteria
Description: bacterial SSU rRNA
Rfam family: Bacterial small subunit ribosomal RNA
Source: RNAcentral
GCACAAGCGGUGGAGCAUGUGGUUCAAUUCGAAGCAACGCGCAGAACCUUACCAGCCCUUGACAUCCCGGUCGCGGAGAGCAGAGACGCACUCCUUCAGUUCGGCUGGACCGGAGACAGGUGCUGCAUGGCUGUCGUCAGCUCGUGUCGUGAGAUGUUGGGUUAAGUCCCGCAACGAGCGCAACCCUCGCCCUUAGUUACCAUCAUUCAGUUGGGCACUCUAAGGGGACUGCCGGUGAUAAGCCGCGAGGAAGGUGGGGAUGACGUCAAGUCCUCAUGGCCCUUACGGGCUGGGCUACACACGUGCUACAAUGGCGGUGACAGUGGGCAGCGAGGCAGCAAUGCCAAGCUAAUCUCUAAAAGCCGUCUCAGUUCGGAUUGGGGUCUGCAACUCGACCCCAUGAAGUUGGAAUCGCUAGUAAUCGUGGAUCAGCACGCCACGGUGAAUACGUUCCCGGGC